RNAcentral lists this long non-coding RNA (301 nucleotides) under Falco tinnunculus (common kestrel). Its description in RNAcentral is "lncRNA (ENSFTIG00000010708.1)". Lineage: Eukaryota; Metazoa; Chordata; Aves; Falconiformes; Falconidae. The record is from RNAcentral.
GUGGCAGCAGACCAGCCGGACUCUCAGGCAUGGACCUGUGUGGGAAGUUCAAGGAGAGCAAGAUGAAGGAAGAUAACAACAAAGAAUGUAAAUGCUUGUUUCUGUGAAAGCUCCUAUUCAAAUCAGAUCUUCAGCUCCCAGAAAAAUCCUGAUUCAUGAGAGAGAAACAGAAUACCAUGAGAGGCCAAAGAGGAAAGUCCUUCGCAGGAGCUCAUUGUGGCUGGAUGUGUCUGGUCACCCCUCCUGCUGCCUGGGAAGCCAAGCUGGUCCAUGCUAUGUGUCUGAGAAGCACUGGAGUUAG